Molecule: ribosomal RNA, 531 nt
Filed under: unidentified nematode Sourhope farm
Lineage: Eukaryota; Metazoa; Nematoda
Description: SSU rRNA
Rfam family: Eukaryotic small subunit ribosomal RNA
Source: RNAcentral
AUGGUGAAGCCGCGAAUGGCUCAUUACAACAGCCACUGUUUACUUGAUCUUGAUUAUCCUACUUGGAUAACUGUGGUAAUUCUAGAGCUAAUACACGCAAUAAAGCUCCGACCUUACGGGACGAGCGCAUUUAUUAGACCAAAACCAAUCGGGCCUCGGCCUGAACGGUGGUGACUCUGAAUAACUGAGCUGAUCGCAUGGUCUUUGUACCGGCGACGCAUCUUUCAAGUGUCUGCCUUAUCAACUUUCGAUGGUAGUUUAUGUGCCUACCAUGGUUGUUACGGGUAACGGAGAAUAAGGGUUCGACUCCGGAGAGGGAGCCUGAGAAACGGCUACCACAUCCAAGGAAGGCAGCAGGCGCGCAAAUUACCCACUCUCGGCACGAGGAGGUAGUGACGAAAAAUAACGAGGCGGUUCUCUAAGAGGCCCGCUAUCGGAAUGGGUACAAUUUAAACCCUUUAACGAGGACCUAUGAGAGGGCAAGUCUGGUGCCAGCAGCCGCGGUAAUUCCAGCUCUCAAGGUGUAUAUCG